Molecule: ribosomal RNA, 345 nt
Filed under: Triticum aestivum (bread wheat)
Lineage: Eukaryota; Viridiplantae; Streptophyta; Magnoliopsida; Poales; Poaceae
Description: partial small subunit ribosomal RNA
Source: RNAcentral
AUGCAUGAAGAUACAUGUUGCAUGAUCGAGUACCAAGUGCACCGCCUCGCUACCAAGCGCAACAUCAAUAAGUACCCCAUGGUGUUCAACCCCGGAGAUCUUGUGUGGCUACACCUACGCAAAGACCGCUUCCCCAACGAGCGCAAGUCCAAACUCCUACCUCGAUCCGAUGGACCAUUCAAGGUGCUAGCACGCUACAACAACAAUGCAUACAAGAUCGACCUCCCGCGAGACAAGUACAACAUGAACGACAUAUUCGACAUAUUCAACGUCAAGGAUCUAUCUUCCUUCCAUGGUGAUGAAGUUUUUGAUCCGAGGACGGAUCUUUCCCAAGGGGGCAGAUGA